UCCCAGCUAUUAACUGCUGGCUGAUUGCUUUGUGCAAAAGGUGCCCGAAGAGCGAGGGGAAGGAAAUUAGGGAAUAAUGGGAGGGAGUAAUGAAAGAGGAUGAAAACUGGCAGCCUGGCUCAACAGGCACAGCUGAAAGAAAAAGAAAAGAAGAAGAGACAGAAAAAGACAAAAAAAACCGUGAAUUAGAAUAGUUAUUCUAAUUCUCAGACUGUAACCCACAGCAGCACGACCAGAUGUACGGCAGAUUUUCAGACGUUUAUCCCAGUGUCUCCACACUUUGUUCCCAAAUUGGAUCGAAUGGAAGGUGAUUUAAGUCUGAAACAUUUGCUCAUCCGUGCAAAACGAAGCUCGGUGAGCGAGCGACUGCUCGCAGGGCCCGUUGGUGAAGUAUGAGUUAAGGUUUAAAUUAGCAUCCCAUCUCCUGCACUCCUGCGUGUGAUAACACAUCUGAUCUGAGCCGGUGUGGAGUCAGAAUACUAAAUGUGUGAGUCUGUGUGUCGCUCUGAGGAACAGCAGAGCGCUGCCAACCCAUGCUAGAUCCUGCCAUCUGCCCUGCAAUCACCUCGUUCCCCUCACCUGAGUUUCCCCACCCGUCUCCUCACCUGGAUCCCAUUAGGCUCAUCAGUCACUCCUUAUAUAUACCGGUCCACAUUCUCAUGCUCCUUGCCGGACUGUCUAAUGUGUUUGCAUAGCUUUCCAGCAUUUCUAUAUCUACCUGUUCACUCGCCUGUUACCUGAGAUCCUGCCUGUUUCCCGGUCUUGAGAUUUGUCUAGUCCCUCGGAGUUGUCUGCCUGGUUUGUGACCCCUGCUUGGUUUUUUUUGACUAAUUAAAGAAUAUCAGACUCUGCUCCCGUCUCUGAGGUCGUUACAACUGUCACCUUCUUGUACUGUAUUCAUCUCUGUAUGCACCUCUGACCAAAUGAAUUUCCAUUUUUGGCUGAUAAAGUUAAUUUGAUUUGA
Long non-coding RNA from Thunnus maccoyii (southern bluefin tuna), 964 nucleotides. RefSeq lists it as uncharacterized. Lineage: Eukaryota; Metazoa; Chordata; Actinopteri; Scombriformes; Scombridae. The record is from RefSeq and is a predicted model, not a curated record. The transcript has 4 exons.